UACGAAGGGUGCAAACGUUGCUCGGAAUUAUUGGGCGUAAAGCGCACGUAGGCGGCCUUGUAAGUCGGAUGUGAAAUCCCUCGGCGUAACCGAGGACGUGCAUCCGAAACUGUGAGGCUCGAGUAUGGAAGAGGGUCGCAGAAUUCCCGGUGUAGAGGUGAAAUUCGUAGAUAUCGGGAGGAAUACCAGUGGCGAAGGCGGCGACCUGGGCCAAUACUGACGCUGAGGUGCGAAAGCUAGGGUAGCAAACGGG
This 253-nucleotide ribosomal RNA is filed under the name uncultured bacterium. Its description in RNAcentral is "partial 16S ribosomal RNA". It matches the Rfam family "Bacterial small subunit ribosomal RNA", at positions 524 to 776 of the family's 1533-position model. The record is from RNAcentral.